GAUGAAGAACGUAGCGAAAUGCGAUACUUGGUGUGAAUUGCAGAAUCCCGUGAACCAUCGAGUCUUUGAACGCAAGUUGCGACCGAAGCCAUUAGGCCGAGGGCACGCCUGCCUGGGCGUCACACGUCGUUGCCCCCCCAUCUACUCCUUCGGGAUUGCGGGGGGCGGAUGAUGGCCUCCCGUGCGCCUCGUCGCGCGGUUGGCAUAAAUGCCAAGUCCUCGGCGACGCACGCCACGACAAUCGGUGGUUGCGAAACCUCGGUUGCCCGUCGUGUGCGGUCGUCGCGCAUCGAGGGCUCGAAAAAAUUGCCGGGCUCCGGCUCGGCUUUCAACGCGACCCCAGGUCAGGCGGGGUUACCCGCUGAAUUUAAGCAUAUCAAUAAGCGGAGGA
Molecule: unclassified non-coding RNA, 391 nt
Filed under: soil metagenome
Description: partial contains 5.8S ribosomal RNA, internal transcribed spacer 2, and large subunit ribosomal RNA
Rfam family: 5.8S ribosomal RNA (bases 1-122)
Source: RNAcentral